This 27-nucleotide small RNA is filed under the name Bombyx mori (domestic silkworm). RNAcentral's name for it is "ovarian small RNA-19437". The record is from RNAcentral. Lineage: Eukaryota; Metazoa; Arthropoda; Insecta; Lepidoptera; Bombycidae.
UAAGUGUCGAAAUGCAGGGCUACAAAC